RNAcentral lists this ribosomal RNA (253 nucleotides) under uncultured bacterium. Its description in RNAcentral is "partial 16S ribosomal RNA". It matches the Rfam family "Bacterial small subunit ribosomal RNA", at positions 524 to 776 of the family's 1533-position model. The record is from RNAcentral.
UACGGAGGGUGCAAGCGUUAUCCGGAUUUAUUGGGUUUAAAGGGUCCGUAGGCGGAUCUGUAAGUCAGUGGUGAAAUCUCACAGCUUAACUGUGAAACUGCCAUUGAUACUGCAGGUCUUGAGUAAGGUAGAAGUGGCUGGAAUAAGUAGUGUAGCGGUGAAAUGCAUAGAUAUUACUUAGAACAUCAAUUGCGAAGGCAGGUCACUAUGUCUUAACUGACGCUGAUGGACGAAAGCGUGGGGAGCGAACAGG